CUUUGAGGYAUUCUGCCGGCCUAUGUAUCACUACAAACACAUAAAGUAACAGAAUGUAUUCGCGUCKAACGCAUCUAAAUACAACUUUCAGCAACGGAUCUCUUGGCUCUCGCAUCGAUGAAGAACGCAGCGAAAUGCGAUAAGUAAUGUGAAUUGCAGAAUUCAGUGAAUCAUCGAAUCUUUGAACGCACCUUGCGCUCCUUGGUAUUCCGAGGAGCAUGCCUGUUUGAGUGUCAUGGAAUUCUCAACCCACACGUCCUUGUGAUGUUGCGGGCUUGGAUUUGGAGGCUUGCUGGCCCUCUGCGGUCGGCUCCUCUUGAAUGCAUUAGCUUGAUUCCGUGCGGAUCGGCUCUCAGUGUGAUAAUUGUCUACGCUGUGACCGUGAAGCGUUUGGCGAGCUUCUAACCGUCCCGUAUGGCACAACUUCUUUGACAUCUGACCUCAAAUCAGGUAGGACUACCCGCUGAACUUAAGCAUAUCAAU
This 483-nucleotide ribosomal RNA is filed under the name Pycnoporus sp. 4-D-2-D-15(M)-A. RNAcentral describes it as "eukaryotic LSU rRNA". The record is from RNAcentral. Lineage: Eukaryota; Fungi; Basidiomycota; Agaricomycetes; Polyporales; Polyporaceae.